Molecule: long non-coding RNA, 659 nt
Filed under: Homo sapiens (human)
Lineage: Eukaryota; Metazoa; Chordata; Mammalia; Primates; Hominidae
Description: LNC_000947
Source: RNAcentral
UCUUUCAUAAGCAUAUUUGUUCUAUACAUGUAUUUUCCUAGGAGCUGAGCUGAACUUAAAAUUCUGGUUGUACAGACUACAAAUCUUGAUUAGUAUAUAUAAGUAGACCAUCUUAAAUAUACUUGUUGAAUGUAUAAGAAAUAUGGACAGGAUUGUCACCAUGCCAAAUUAACAUAUUUUUCCAUAAAAGAACUAAACCUACAUUAAUCAAAACUAGUUAUCUCUUAUAGACUAGAAAAGAGCUUCAACAGUGGUUUAAAAGAAAACAGAAGAAAGGAUCACCAUCAAGUCAUCUGAGAAUGACUUUACAGCUCGAAGAAAGCCUUAAAAAGCAACAAGGCAGCCACAAGCCACAAAACCAACAAGCUGCAACAAAUUUGUAAUGAUCACAGUGGAAACCAGCAGCCUGUCAGCCACUGGAAAGGUAGAAUGUUACUGGGGCUCCUUCAAAACCCCAUCCCCAGGGAAUGGUCAUUAUUUAACCUGUCUCAUAGGUCCCUGGAAGACCCCAAUUGCAAGGUUGUCAUUGUUUGACUUGAGUUGGAGCUCAUGCAGUGAAAAGAGCCUUUUCUCUAUGGGGGUUUAUUAAAAACAAUUAGAGGCAAUUGUUUAACAUCAUGGCUGCCGGAUGCAAUCACCUUUGUAAAGAUUAUGACAGC